UAUUCACGCCCCUCUAAGCUUAAACCAAUAUCCAACCUAGUACUUAUUUUCCUUAUGACAUUCAUAUGACUUGUAUCAAACCUUGUCAGUCGUGCAAACCCGGUCAUCUAAAGAGUUUCUCCCUUUUAAUCUCUCUCAUAGAGAUUCAAUUAAGAUAAUACAACAUACAUGAUAUGCAUAAAUAAAUAAUACAUGACACGGGUGAAACAAUGCAAUGUUGGCAAUAUUUUACAUAUAAAGUAUGGAUGCCGUUUCAAAUCUACAUAAACCUACUUCAUUUAAGAAUUAAAUAAUGUCUACUCUCUAUACUUAUAGGGUGCUAACGUUUCAGUCCCUCAUGUUUGAAUUUCACCCAAUUGCUCAUCCAACUCUCAAUUUUCUCACAAUAAGUCCCUGUCAUCAAGCUCUGUCCCAAUUGUCUGUGAAGUUGCAGACGUGGCAACCUUGAGUCAACACAGGGCACCACGUGGAUUGUAAAAUAUCGAAAAUAACCUUGCCUCUAUUAUGGUGGUUACGAUAUGAUAUACCCCAAACCCAGUUCCUAAACUCCCAAAAAACCCUAAAAUUCAAAUUUGUGAAAAUGGAACCAAGCUCUUCUCCAUGAUCCCACAAACCCAGAAUCUGAUAUCGUUGAAAAUCCAAAACCCUAAUUCAUAAUCGGAUUAUCAAUCAUCCAUUGUUGGGCAGCACACCGCAACCCGAGUCGAAGAAGAGACCAACGUUGUGUGGCAGCGACAUGAUCGUGAACUACGCUGAUUUGUGGGUUCCUAGAGCUGCAGACGAGGAGAACGAGAAUGAUAAAAUCCUUAAUUAUGUGCUAGGGUUUGAAGAUGGCAAUGAGGAUGGGGAUUAUGACCCCAAAGAAAAUGAUGAGGAGUAUGAUCAUGAACAAUAUAGGGAUGAAUGGAUGGAGGGAGUUAUGCAUGAAGGUGCUAUACACAAUGAAGAUAGUAGUAAAAGGUCAAGAGUCCAAGAAGAUAUAAGAGAGUUUGUAAUAAUGAGGACAGGUUUGGUUAUGAAGAUUUAGACCAUGAAAGGUUCGGUUUUACAAAAUUCUGAUGGGGAAACUGAAGAUGAAGGACUUGAAUUCAAUCCCAAAUCUGACAUGAAGAAACCAGAUUUUAGACUGAAACAGAUGUUUGCCACAGUUCGAGUCUUGAGAGAUGCAUUGAGGGAGCAUGUUAUUCAAGGUGGCUGGGAGUAUGUCUUCAUCAAGAAUGAUAAGACAAGGUUGAGAGUUGUGUGCAAGGAGCACAAUAGUCCCUUCUUUAUGUUUACUUCCAAAAUGUAGCAUGAGAGCACUCUCAUGAUCAAGGGUUAUGAGCCUCCACAAAAAUGCACAAAGAAGUUCAAUAACAACAUGGUUAAGCUUAGAUAUUUGAUAGCAAAGUUUAAAGAUCAUAUUGCUCUCAAUGAGAGUGUGAAGCCAGAAUCUCUUGCUAAGACAACAUCAACAAGCAUUAGAGUAAUGGUUUCAUAGUCAAUGGCAUAUAGAGCUAAAAGGGCUGCUCUGUUGGAAUUUGACGAUAGCACAAGUGAGCAUUAUGCAAGGCUAAGUGAUUAUGGAACAGAGCUUCAAAGGGUUGAUCCAACAAUAACUAUUGAUAUUAAAUGUAGUUUCCCUGAGUCAAGCAAGAGACCUGCUUUUAGACGAAUGUAUAUUUGCUUGGGAGCUCUAAAGAAUGGCGUCAAGGAAGGUUGCAGAUCUGUCAUUGGAUUGGAUAUGCACAUCUGAAGGGACCUUUUGGGAGACAACUUUUAAUAGCUAUAACACAUCAUGGGUCGUGGCAUAUGCAACGGUGGAGCUGGAAACCAGAUACAUAAAUCUGGUUUUCGGAGUUAUUAAGGAUCUGAAUAUUGAACAUGAAGGAAGAGGUUGAGUGUUCAUAAGUGAUAAACAGAAAGGUCUUAUACCUGCAUUUGAAGAGGUUGUCCUAAGGGCUCAUAUUAGAUUUUGUGUGAGGCAUAUGUGGACAAACUUCAGCUUUUUCCAAGAAAGUUCAUCAAGGAUCAGAUGUGGGCCUAUGCAAAAGCAACCACCUUGCCUUAUUUUCAUAAACAAAUACAAAGCCUUGAUGUGAUGCUUACAAGUGGAUGACAGGUACUUGAAUAUCUUUCAGUUUCAAUGUUACUUUUUUCUUUACAGCCUCUGAUUUUUAAUCACAACCUAAUUGAUAAUGUUUGCAACACCCGAGAGACCAGCUCGACAUUGGUGUAGGGCUUUCUGUAAGUUUCCAUUUUCAGAAACUCACCCUAGGAUAGAUUUCAGUUUCUUUCAACCGAUCCAGUCCAUUUUAGUUUUCCAGCGAUUUCUCCUCCAUCUAGUGACAGGUUUGGACGCCAUUGGUCACAUUUAAACUGCCUUUCCUUUAUCUACAACUCUGUUGUAGCUUAGUGGUUCGAAUCGAGUUGUGAAUGGCGCAGCAAGGUGGAAAUUGAGGUAACGACACUGUUUCAAGUACAACGUUGGUUCUUCGUACUUCGAUCACCUAUGGCCGCCCCACAAGUCAGGUUUUGAAGUCUUUGAGACGUAUUCCAAUCCCUUCAAGCCUCUUUAUCCAAUUUGAUGUGUGAAGCCCAAAUCGAACAAGUGAAAUUCUAGGAUUUUCAUCGCCGUUUUGAGGUAAGUUCGGACCAAUUGGUUGUGUUUAUGACUUUGUUGUAGUUUUUAAGAAUGGUUGGGGUUGUUGUAAGGAAGAUUUUGACAUAGGUGGUUUCAUCCAAUUUCGGGGUCGGAGACAGCAGCAUGUGGGGCUGAUUUCGGCCUUCUAAUUUAGCUGGUUGGUUUGGUUGUAGAGUGUAGAACUUGUAGAUAUGUGUUUGGUAAAAAUAAGAGAAGGUUUGUUAUAGAUUGGGAAUUUCAGAAGUUCCCAGUGUUUCAGAUUGUUGAUUUACGAAUUGAUGUUAGUGGUUAAUUUUGGGUUGAAUCCGAGAAGUUUGAAGCAAUUAGGUUUCAGGGUUCAAGUUUAAGAUUCGAUUAUUGUUCUUUAUAUUCCAAAUUCCGAAUCAUGAGUUUUUGUUUAUGAUUACCAUUUUGUACAGGACGUGAGGAGAUCCCACUUGAGGAGGGUUCCGAUCAAUGGUAGGAUUAGCCGUAUAUUGUGUCAGAACACUUUCUUUUAAAAAUAUUAUGCGUGCAAUAAUUCUUUUCAUAAAUGAUGGUCUACUUAUUCGAGAUUAUAAUUUGGUUUCGAAAAUGGCUUGUGAUCACUAUACUAGUAAUUGUUUAAUAGACAUUGCUUUAAUAGCAUGCUCAUUUAGGAUUCGUUUUUCUUUUUCUUUUUCUUUUUCAUUCUAACGUUUAUCAUGCUCAAUGGUGUGUUUUUAUUUGAUUAUGUCUCAAUAAGUUGCAGGUGGGAUUGAAACUCUAUCAAUCACAGAAGCCUUUGGGAAAUUUAGGAAGACCAAGUUCUCGAGUUAACUUUGCCAAGACUACAAAUAGGAUGGGUCUUUUUGGUAGAGGAACAAUGCUUCAAGUCUAAGAAGGAGAAGCUGGAAAGUUGUUUAGGACAUGUAAUUUUCUUUUAUGGAUGCUAGUGAGAAAUAAUUGUAUUCUCCUAUGAAUAUUGUUGUAUGCACUAUGAUAAAUAAAUUUGAAUAAAUAUCAGUGUUCUUUGUUUGACGACUAUUGCAACUUCUUACUUGGAACAAA
This is a long non-coding RNA of Rosa rugosa (rugosa rose), 3652 nucleotides long. RefSeq lists it as uncharacterized. Lineage: Eukaryota; Viridiplantae; Streptophyta; Magnoliopsida; Rosales; Rosaceae. The record is from RefSeq and is a predicted model, not a curated record. The transcript is spliced from 4 exons.